Molecule: non-coding RNA, 346 nt
Organism: Camelina sativa (false flax)
Lineage: Eukaryota; Viridiplantae; Streptophyta; Magnoliopsida; Brassicales; Brassicaceae
Source: RefSeq, a predicted model, not a curated record
UUUAUUUUAUCAUCAAAGAUGACUAAAAACAUGGUUCUUACAAUUUUCAUGGUGUUAUUUGUUAUUGGAAUGGUGAUGGAAAAGACGAAAGGACGUAUAUGUCAUGCCUACCUUAGAGGAGCAACUCCUGGUUGUGAUACUUCAGACUGUAACCUAGAUUGUCGUGACAGGUGGAAAGGAACAGGAACUUGUGUACCAGCAGGCUUCUCACGAGAAGAUCAGACCUGCUACUGCAGUUUUAAUUGUUAAAAUCGAUUUUUCCUUUAUUAUCUAUAAACAAUCACCAAAUAUAAUUUAAUAAAAUAAUGGAUUGAAGAAAAAAAAUGAAUAUUGUGAUCUUUUCUAA